Molecule: ribosomal RNA, 253 nt
Filed under: uncultured bacterium
Lineage: Bacteria
Description: partial 16S ribosomal RNA
Rfam family: Bacterial small subunit ribosomal RNA
Source: RNAcentral
UACAGAGACUGCAAGCGUUAUUCGGAUUCACUGGGCGUAAAGGGUGCGCAGGCGGCCAAGUGUGUUAGGCGUGAAAGCCUGAGGCUUAACCUCAGAAUUGCACCUAAAACUACAUGGCUAGAGCAUUGGAGAGGGUAGCGGAAUUCACGGUGUAGCAGUGAAAUGCGUAGAUAUCGUGAGGAAGACCAGUGGCGAAGGCGAAUCUCUGGACAGUUCCUGACGCUGAGGCACGAAGGCCAGGGGAGCAAACGGG